GAUGAACGCUAGCGGCAGGCUUAACACAUGCAAGUCGAGGGGUAGAGGAAGCUUGCUUCCUUGAGACCGGCGCACGGGUGCGUAACGCGUAUACAAUCUACCUUUUACAGAGGGAUAGCCCCAGAGAAAUUUGGAUUAAUACCUCAUAGUAUUUUCGGAUCGCAUGAUUUGAUUAUUAAAGUUCCAACGGUAAAAGAUGAGUAUGCGUCCAUUAGCUAGAUGGUAAGGUAACGGCUUACCAUGGCAAUGAUGGGUAGGGGGUCCCUGAGAGGGAGAUCCCCCCACACUGGUACUGAGACACGGACCAGACUCCUACGGGAGGCAGCAGU
This 329-nucleotide ribosomal RNA is filed under the name uncultured bacterium. Its description in RNAcentral is "bacterial SSU rRNA". It matches the Rfam family "Bacterial small subunit ribosomal RNA", at positions 28 to 355 of the family's 1533-position model. The record is from RNAcentral.